UACGAAGGGGGCUAGCGUUGCUCGGAAUGACUGGGCGUAAAGGGCGCGUAGGCGGCUUACAUAGUUAGGCGUGAAAUUCCUGGGCUCAACCUGGGGACUGCGUCUAAUACAUGUAGGCUUGAGUGUGAAAGAGGGUUGUGGAAUUUCCAGUGUAGAGGUGAAAUUCGUAGAUAUUGGAAAGAACACCGGUGGCGAAGGCGGCGACCUGGUUCAUUACUGACGCUGAGGUACGAAAGCUAGGGGAGCGAAUGGG
This 253-nucleotide ribosomal RNA is filed under the name uncultured bacterium. Its description in RNAcentral is "partial 16S ribosomal RNA". It matches the Rfam family "Bacterial small subunit ribosomal RNA", at positions 524 to 776 of the family's 1533-position model. The record is from RNAcentral.